AGGCGUUAGCCCUGGAAUGAAUCUUGGUGGUGAAGGAAUGCCAGGAAUGCGACCGAGCACUUAAAUUUAUUGCUAAAUAAAGCCUUAAUGCAAUGUCAGUGAAGAAGUAACACCGGAGCAGUUCAGCUGGUAAUUUCAGCUCUACACUUCUGUGCGUAAUGAGGUGACUUGCCUGGAUGCAGUUUGCCAGUGAGUGCUGUCAGGGGCAGGACAGAGGCUCUCACGAGAUCGUUUCCCACCAGAAGAUAUUGGGGUGCAGGUACUUGGGCAAGCAGCAGCACCAAACAUCUUUACAUGGGAAUAUCUUCACAUCUGUUCAUGGAGACAUGGGAAGCCAUCAAUGCAGGCCUGCCACAGUAGAUUUGAAGAACUCAAAGUGCAUGUUGUCUUAAAAUCCAG
Poecile atricapillus (Black-capped chickadee) is the source of this 399-nucleotide long non-coding RNA. RefSeq lists it as uncharacterized. The transcript has 3 exons. NCBI's taxonomy places the organism in Eukaryota, Metazoa, Chordata, Aves, Passeriformes, Paridae. The record is from RefSeq and is a predicted model, not a curated record.